RNAcentral lists this ribosomal RNA (579 nucleotides) under Sarcocystis scandinavica. Its description in RNAcentral is "SSU rRNA". It matches the Rfam family "Eukaryotic small subunit ribosomal RNA", at positions 492 to 1055 of the family's 1831-position model. Lineage: Eukaryota; Apicomplexa; Conoidasida; Eucoccidiorida; Sarcocystidae. The record is from RNAcentral.
AUUUUAUUUCUAGUGAUUGGAAUGAUGGGAAUCCAAACCCCUUUCAGAGUAACAAUUGGAGGGCAAGUCUGGUGCCAGCAGCCGCGGUAAUUCCAGCUCCAAUAGCGUAUAUUAAAGUUGUUGCAGUUAAAAAGCUCGUAGUUGGAUAUCUGCUGGAAGCAAUCAGUCCGCCCUAUUAUCAGGGUGUGCACCUGAUGAAUUCUGGCAUGUUCUUUCCAAUGAUUCUACUACAAGUCAGAUUCAUUUCUGAUGUUGUUGGGUUGUUGGAAAAGCGUUACUUUGAGAAAAUUAGAGUGUUUGAAGCAGGCUAUUGUUGCCUUGAAUACUGCAGCAUGGAAUAACAAUAUAGGAUUUCGGUUCUAUUUUGUUGGUUUCUAGGACUGAAAUAAUGAUUAAUAGGGACGGUUGGGGGCAUUCGUAUUUAACUGUCAGAGGUGAAAUUCUUAGAUUUGUUAAAGACGAACUACUGCGAAAGCAUUUGCCAAAGAUGUUUUCAUUAAUCAAGAACGAAAGUUAGGGGCUCGAAGACGAUCAGAUACCGUCGUAGUCUUAACCAUAAACUAUGCCGACUAGAGAUAG